Molecule: ribosomal RNA, 1582 nt
Filed under: Escherichia coli
Lineage: Bacteria; Pseudomonadati; Pseudomonadota; Gammaproteobacteria; Enterobacterales; Enterobacteriaceae
Description: partial 23S ribosomal RNA
Rfam family: Bacterial large subunit ribosomal RNA
Source: RNAcentral
CUGGAGGUAUCAGAAGUGCGAAUGCUGACAUAAGUAACGAUAAAGCGGGUGAAAAGCCCGCUCGCCGGAAGACCAAGGGUUCCUGUCCAACGUUAAUCGGGGCAGGGUGAGUCGACCCCUAAGGCGAGGCCGAAAGGCGUAGUCGAUGGGAAACAGGUUAAUAUUCCUGUACUUGGUGUUACUGCGAAGGGGGGACGGAGAAGGCUAUGUUGGCCGGGCGACGGUUGUCCCGGUUUAAGCGUGUAGGCUGGUUUUCCAGGCAAAUCCGGAAAAUCAAGGCUGAGGCGUGAUGACGAGGCACUACGGUGCUGAAGCAACAAAUGCCCUGCUUCCAGGAAAAGCCUCUAAGCAUCAGGUAACAUCAAAUCGUACCCCAAACCGACACAGGUGGUCAGGUAGAGAAUACCAAGGCGCUUGAGAGAACUCGGGUGAAGGAACUAGGCAAAAUGGUGCCGUAACUUCGGGAGAAGGCACGCUGAUAUGUAGGUGAAGUCCCUCGCGGAUGGAGCUGAAAUCAGUCGAAGAUACCAGCUGGCUGCAACUGUUUAUUAAAAACACAGCACUGUGCAAACACGAAAGUGGACGUAUACGGUGUGACGCCUGCCCGGUGCCGGAAGGUUAAUUGAUGGGGUUAGCGCAAGCGAAGCUCUUGAUCGAAGCCCCGGUAAACGGCGGCCGUAACUAUAACGGUCCUAAGGUAGCGAAAUUCCUUGUCGGGUAAGUUCCGACCUGCACGAAUGGCGUAAUGAUGGCCAGGCUGUCUCCACCCGAGACUCAGUGAAAUUGAACUCGCUGUGAAGAUGCAGUGUACCCGCGGCAAGACGGAAAGACCCCGUGAACCUUUACUAUAGCUUGACACUGAACAUUGAGCCUUGAUGUGUAGGAUAGGUGGGAGGCUUUGAAGUGUGGACGCCAGUCUGCAUGGAGCCGACCUUGAAAUACCACCCUUUAAUGUUUGAUGUUCUAACGUUGACCCGUAAUCCGGGUUGCGGACAGUGUCUGGUGGGUAGUUUGACUGGGGCGGUCUCCUCCUAAAGAGUAACGGAGGAGCACGAAGGUUGGCUAAUCCUGGUCGGACAUCAGGAGGUUAGUGCAAUGGCAUAAGCCAGCUUGACUGCGAGCGUGACGGCGCGAGCAGGUGCGAAAGCAGGUCAUAGUGAUCCGGUGGUUCUGAAUGGAAGGGCCAUCGCUCAACGGAUAAAAGGUACUCCGGGGAUAACAGGCUGAUACCGCCCAAGAGUUCAUAUCGACGGCGGUGUUUGGCACCUCGAUGUCGGCUCAUCACAUCCUGGGGCUGAAGUAGGUCCCAAGGGUAUGGCUGUUCGCCAUUUAAAGUGGUACGCGAGCUGGGUUUAGAACGUCGUGAGACAGUUCGGUCCCUAUCUGCCGUGGGCGCUGGAGAAUUGAGGGGGGCUGCUCCUAGUACGAGAGGACCGGAGUGGACGCAUCACUGGUGUUCGGGUUGUCAUGCCAAUGGCACUGCCCGGUAGCUAAAUGCGGAAGAGAUAAGUGCUGAAAGCAUCUAAGCACGAAACUUGCCCCGAGAUGAGUUCUCCCUGACUCCUUGAGAGUCCUGAAGGAA